GUGGGGUACUAAAGAAAUAAAAUAUCUUGACAACCACUAGCGUUGUCUUGUGACUUUAAAAAAAAUCAGCCUGUGAAGUAUCACUGCUCUGUUUUAGUCUAAUGCUACUUCUAUCUUUUAUCCUUUUUAAUUAGAAGGCAAAUUCUCAGACCGCCAGGCCUAAUCCCUACACAGUGGAACAAAGCCCAGCAAAGCCUUUGAACACUGUUCAGCCGGGCAGCACAAACCCCAGUAACUGUUGGCAGUAGGGGCAGGACUCUGACCCUCAUCUCAGCCAUUCUCCUGCAGCUCCUGAUGCUCCCUGCCCUUCAGAACUCUAUCUGUUGUUCUUCUGUUUAGACUGAAAAGACAAAAGAGGAGACAAUGUGGGAAACCUAGAGGAUUGGCUAGGUAGGAUGCAGAGAGCUAGUGAUGGAUAGGGGCAAGUAAAUGGAGUUUCACGGGAAUGGACACAGUGGGGAGAAUUGGAUCACCAGAUUAGGUCUUUAGGUUCAAGAAAUUUCUUCAUCCCUCACUAAAUCUUUUCAUGGACAAUGCCACUUUUUAAACAAUUGUUGCAUUUCCAAUUACUCCAGGAGUGUUCAAACAAAUGCCCCCAAACCCUCCCUGAAAAGUUUGCUUAUAUUUUAAACUUGCCAGAUGAAAAUCAAUAAAACCAACACCCCCAAAAUCAGUGGCAGACACUUAUAUUUCCAAAGUAUUUACACUUGUAAUAGUAGUUGAGUCAAGAGCAUAAUUUCAGCCCACUCAAGCAAAACAGGCAACUAGAUAGAAACGUGUAUUUUUCAAAGCUAAUGGGAGCAAUCAUGAAUCAAAAAGCCAAAUUCCAAGUAUGCAAAUAUGAAAAAGGAUUGUUCGCAUUUCCCACUUUGGCUAACUGUGAAUUAUCGAACAGUGAAACAACAGAUGCUACUACCAUGCCGCAAACUCUUCCAAGUUGUUCUUAGAUUGAGCUACGUAUGUGUGGGAAUUACUGUCUGGUGCCAGGGUGCUUGAGAGUUGUGGGAUUUGUGAAGAAGAUAUGCAUUUUCUGCAUUUUGAGAUAUGUAGGAUAGAUGUUUCAGGGGAAAAAGGGACGGAAAACCAAAAAUCUGUUAUUGGAAACAUUUUUAGCAGUCUCUCCCACCCCUCAAUACAGGUUUCACAAAGCCACUUUCAUUUUUUUCCCCUUCGGAUGUCUACAGAAACACCAGUAAAUGAGUGCUAUACUUAACCCAAUCAUUAUGGUUUUCUUUAUAACCAAAUAUAAAAUGUGUUGCUGAUCUGGCUUUGGGUGAUUAAGAGGUUAAUUUAAAUCAUAGGAAAGGAUUCAGUCAGGGAUUUGGAUGAAUGAUGUUCAAUAAACAUGUGCAUUUAAUCAUAUAAUCUUAAAUUCGAAGUUACAGCCAAGCCCUUCUUAAGGAAGUUCCCAUUUUUAAAGAUCUUGGUAGGACAAAUGUACUGAGUCUUAUAUUUAAAUAAAAUAUGCUUUGGGAAUUUUUAAAAUGUAUAUUUUACAUUGAUUUCUAGCACAUUUGUUCUGAGAAUGUGUUUAUCUUAUUAAAGGGACAGCACUGUAUGUAAUUUUAGUCAAUUUCUAUAUAAUAUCUGUUAUUCAAAUGACAAACCCAAUAUCUUCCUCAGCAUUCUUUUACUUUGCGCUUCAUAGGCAAAUCCUUUCUCUAGGUCAAACAGUGGUAAAAUGUACAAAGAUAAUCAAACACAACUACAGAUAGUAUUUUCUAAGAAUAACACAGUGUUCUGAUAGUCUUCUAUCAGUCUGAUUUUGUGAUUAUCUUAACCUUGGAUAUCUUACAAUAUUAUGAAUAUCUACCUAUAUUAAUGCUCUUUCCACACACCUUAUGUUCAUUUUUUUUCUUUUUUUAAUUGAAAACUGAAAAAUUAGGAUACACUAAUUAUUCCGGGGGCUCACCACAGUGAUCACAAUUUGCAAAUGAAAAUACUUUAAAAAUUAAAAAAAAAAACCUCUUCAUAAAGAUAGAAACCCGUUAAAGAAACUGUCUAAAUGUUUGCACACAUUUCACUGUCUAAUGCUCCGAUGGAAAUGAUCAAUAAACAUUUGCAUAAAAAGAGCAGACUCAUUAUGCAUGUGAGUUUUAAUAGUCAUUGGGAAUUUUUGCCUAGUGCGAAAUUAUUUCUUGUCCUGCAUGCACAGGCUGACUUUGGCAGGCAUGUUAUGAAAGGCCAUGGACAACAUGUUGUAGUGACAUUUAAUACUACAUUUCCAAAAGAAGCUUCUUGAGACCCAGAGGUAGUCCUGAAAAUGCACAUACACCACAGCUAAACGCAGUUUCCACAAAUCAAACCUGGCAUCACUUCUAUCAGGGAAUGGCUUUUGUGUUUAUUUUUGUCUCCUCAUCACUGUCAUCUACCUACUCACCUUGAUCAUGUAUAUGAAUUAAUUUUAUUAGAAUGGAAUGGGAAAGACUCUAGAUCAGAGGAACCCAAAGCUUUUGAAAACAGCUUUUCUUUUAAGAAACUAAGACUUGCACGAACACUGACAACGCAGUGUACCUUGUUAUUCAACAUGGUUGAAUAUACUCAUUAAUACUUAUUAGAAUGUGAAAAUGAAAACAACUACUAUAUAUCCUAUUUUUCUCUUUCUAAGAACUCAUGUAAUUUAGCUUUACAUAAUAGCCUUGAGUGAAUAGGGCUGCCAAAGUUAAAAUAUUUUGUGAGCAGGUUAGUUUUUGUUAUUGUUCCUCAGUUUCUACCACUGAAUUAGGCUUUCUUUGAUAAGAAUAAAAACUUAGAGGGUUUCUGAUGCUUAUAACGAACUUGCUAAACUGUUGCCAUUUUGCAACAUCUGCUAUAAUUCCCCUAAAUCCAGAUUUGUCUGACACAGAGAGGCCUGUUCUUACAUCAUUGCCAUGUGACAGUAUAACACCAGUCACAUCAAGCUUGAGGAUUGCAGCUUCAGGCUAUGAUAAUAUGAAGAAAACCUUUUUGCCUAGGGCAAAACACUUGUAACAAAGUAUUAUUCAUCUGGCCAAUUUAAAUCUUCUCUCAAAAAGGUACCCAGAAACAUAUGCAGUAUGCCUUUGUAAAAGGCUUGAGCAGCUCAUAGGCAAAUGACCUGAACCAAGAGCACAAAACCUAAUGUCCUGAUUAAUUACUGCUAAGCGGCUCUGAUACACAGAAAAGAGAAUGCUGGUACUAAUCCUUAACCCUGUCCUACAUUCUCAAAAUAGCCAAAACAUUGCUGACAGUUGCAAACACAAACCUGUCCUUUUUUUUUUUUUUUUUAAGGUUAUACAUCAUCACUUGGUGCCUCCACCUAAGUCAAACCAGGAUGCAGACAGAUUAGAGAGUUACCAGUCCAGGGGGCUUCUUGGGGCAAGGCUCAUAGAAAGGAAAUCUGAAGGGGAAAAAACCAACAUCAAUAACACAGAAUGCCCCAACAGAAAUAUUCGGGGUGUUCUCGGGGUGUUCUUGCUUUCAGGGUUCAGCUUCCAAGAGACAGAGCUUCUCUGGAAAUUGCUCCUUAAGAGUUGAGAACCUCAAUACAGAAAUGCUUUACUGAUUCACUUGGAGCAGAGAAGUUUGCUAUGCUUAGAAUUUUAUUAGGGAAGGAUGUUUGAAUUUCUCUUGACUAUGAAAAUAAGAGCAUGCUUCUAUUUCAUGAUAAAUACCAGACAUUAGAAAUUCAAACUAUUUCAAUUGGAAGCCUAUCUUGGUUUUAUCAGUCACUCAAAUUAUAUCUACCUUUAUUAAGAAAGCAGGUAUCUGGAGUCCCUGUCACUCUUGCUGAGCAAGAAAUACAUGCUUAAACAAAGAAAGUCCUGUGUAAGAAAAGUUGCUUCUCUUAGCAGUUUUCUGGGUUUUGUUUUUUUAAUCUAAGGUCAUUAAAAUGCUCAUCUUGCUAUCAGCCAUAACACCAUUACUUUGCAGGUAAAUCAAAAUAGUUUUCUUGCACUUUAGGUAAAGCAUGGCAUGUUAAUAGCACUUCUUCAAAACAAAUAAUAAUCCUUCUCUAUUUUGAAGACUGCUCUUAAUUCGACAUUAUUCUUCAGGCACACCCCCUACUCCUGAGCUCUAGCAAAUAGAGGCUGAGGUUCUGAAGGGCCAGUCUAACUGGAGUGAGGGUCACUUUACCCACAGGCUGCCUCUAAUACAAAGGAGAAGAGACAUACUUUCACCUGCAGUGCACCCACUGUCAAAGUCUAACUCCAUUUUAGAUUGUCAAGAAUUUUUCUGUGUGUGUGCACAUUGUUGUAGAUACAAGCAUUUUCACAUGCCACAGCUUCCUACCUCGUGUUUAACAGACUGCACAGGAAAUGAGUUUUCCACCUGUCCAGAUCAAGUGAUGCCCAAGCAAAUGCAUACUGCUGGUUCAGCAUUGCAGCUUGAGCUUGAUGAUCUGUGUUUUCUUAAGGGCACCAAGCCCUGUUUCUCUUUGUACCUUUUUGCUUCAUUUCCUCACUCAUUUUCUCUGCCUCUGCCUUCAUCAGCUGGUCCCCAUGUGAUACACUUUGAUUUCUCAUCAUUACUCAAGCCCCUUCUUUCUGAAUUUAGGUAACUCACCUUCUCAUGAAUGAGGGUGUAACUUUGAAGUCAAUCCAGCUUGGUUCCUAACAUCCCUAUAAUUCUGAGCACCAUCUGCCCCUGGACAUGAUGACCAUUGAUGGAGAUUGUCCCUCCCUGAAGCCUGAAGCUCUGACUCUCUUCAGAGGCAGAGUAAAGAACCAAAUCUUGCUGCUUCUCAGGGCUGGGCAUCCAAUUUGAUAAUCCUUCAGAGGAGAAAAAUUUUUUAUUGUCUUCCAAGACUGAUACCAUGCAGGGGUGGGGUGGGCUGGAAGAUUUCUCCUCUCUUAGCUAGUUGCUGAUUUUUUUGCAGAUUAAAAAAUAUAAAUUAAGAAGUUUGAGGGAGUUCCCUUUGUGGCUCAGCAGUUAAUGAACCCA
This 4902-nucleotide long non-coding RNA is filed under the name Sus scrofa (pig). Its description in RNAcentral is "lncRNA (ENSSSCG00050029513.1)". Lineage: Eukaryota; Metazoa; Chordata; Mammalia; Artiodactyla; Suidae. The record is from RNAcentral.